UAAUUAAAAAAAAGGAAAAAAAUAUGCGAAAUAAUAAUAAUAAUAAUAUCCACAAAUAAAAACUUAAACUUAAAAAAAAAAAAAAUCAGACAAAAAGGACAACAUCGCCACCCC
Molecule: ribosomal RNA, 114 nt
Filed under: Lotharella globosa
Lineage: Eukaryota; Cercozoa; Chlorarachniophyceae
Description: partial Trypanosomatid mitochondrial large subunit ribosomal RNA
Source: RNAcentral